GGAUUCGCUAGUAAUCGCGCAUCAGCCACGGCGCGGUGAAUACGUUCCCGGGCCUUGUACACACCGCCCGUCAAGCCAUGGGAGCCGGGGGUACCUGAAGUGCGUAACCGCGAGGAGCGCCCUAGGGCAAAACUGGUGACUGGGGCUAAGUCGUAACAAGGUACC
This 165-nucleotide ribosomal RNA is filed under the name uncultured bacterium. RNAcentral's name for it is "partial 16S ribosomal RNA". It matches the Rfam family "Bacterial small subunit ribosomal RNA", at positions 1328 to 1500 of the family's 1533-position model. The record is from RNAcentral.